AGCUUGCUCUUCUUGGAUGAGUUGCGAACGGGUGAGUAACGCGUAGGUAACCUGCCUUGUAGCGGGGGAUAACUAUUGGAAACGAUAGCUAAUACCGCAUAACAAUGGAUGACACAUGUCAUUUAUUUGAAAGGGGCAAUUGCUCCACUACAAGAUGGACCUGCGUUGUAUUAGCUAGUAGGUGAGGUAAUGGCUCACCUAGGCGACGAUACAUAGCCGACCUGAGAGGGUGAUCGGCCACACUGGGACUGAGACACGGCCCAGACUCCUACGGGAGGCAGCAGUAGGGAAUCUUCGGCAAUGGGGGCAACCCUGACCGAGCAACGCCGCGUGAGUGAAGAAGGUUUUCGGAUCGUAAAGCUCUGUUGUAAGUCAAGAACGGGUGUGAGAGUGGAAAGUUCACACUGUGACGGUAGCUUACCAGAAAGGGACGGCUAACUACGUGCCAGCAGCCGCGGUAAUACGUAGGUCCCGAGCGUUGUCCGGAUUUAUUGGGCGUAAAGCGAGCGCAGGCGGUUUGAUAAGUCUGAAGUUAAAGGCUGUGGCUCAACCAUAGUUCGCUUUGGAAACUGUCAAACUUGAGUGCAGAAGGGGAGAGUGGAAUUCCAUGUGUAGCGGUGAAAUGCGUAGAUAUAUGGAGGAACACCGGUGGCGAAAGCGGCUCUCUGGUCUGUAACUGACGCUGAGGCUCGAAAGCGUGGGGAGCGAACAGGAUUAGAUACCCUGGUAGUCCACGCCGUAAACGAUGAGUGCU
Molecule: ribosomal RNA, 754 nt
Filed under: Streptococcus sp. G05_39
Lineage: Bacteria; Bacillati; Bacillota; Bacilli; Lactobacillales; Streptococcaceae
Description: bacterial SSU rRNA
Rfam family: Bacterial small subunit ribosomal RNA
Source: RNAcentral